Molecule: long non-coding RNA, 1457 nt
Filed under: Cavia porcellus (domestic guinea pig)
Lineage: Eukaryota; Metazoa; Chordata; Mammalia; Rodentia; Caviidae
Description: lncRNA (ENSCPOG00000035602.1)
Source: RNAcentral
CGUAGCACUUGGUCUUGCGACCUCAGCCGACGCCUCCGUCGGCGCGGAUGGGACGUACUCGCUAGCCUCAGGUGGCCACGGCUCUGGGAAUGGCACCACCCCUACCCAGGUCUCCUGCUGUCGUCACCCUGCGUGGCCCUCCUGCUGUUCCCUGGGGCUCUGCAGCAGGUGUCCCUUCAGCAGACUCUGCCUGGUGCCAGAGAACGCCUUCCAUUCCUGCCAGACCCCGAUGGCUUCUGCCACACACGGGGCCAGCUCAGGAGGACACAGGGUCAGGAGCCAGGUGGAGGCGCGGUGUCACGGAGGGCACACCCUGGCCUCUUUUAGGUGCCCUGUCCAGCCAUGGCCUGGAAAGUCCUGACACAGUUAAUUUUGGAAACUCCAUCCUUCUGUACAGUAGUUGGCUUAAAACAAAUUCAAGCUCAUGGAUCCUGAGAGAUGGCACUGUUGGGAGUGGUCCAGGAAAGAUUUCCUCACUCAAAAGGGAGUGAAAGAGGCUGUCCCUGCUUCCUGCUGAACGCUAUCAGGUGAUGUGAAGCCUUCUUGAGACCGUGAGGAGCAUCCUGAUGGUGGGGACAGCAGCAUGGAAAGAUGGGGAGAGCCUGGGUCCUUACUGACUCCAUCAGACCCUUAACCCAUGUCAUUCCCCAGCCCAGAUGUUGUUAGGAGAGAUAAUAAAUGUCUCUAUUUCAACGAGGUGAGUUGGGUUUUCUGUUUCAAUAGGAUCAGCAUCUUUAUCUUACGAAAACAAGACCACCAGAGCUCUAUGAAGAUAACAGAAAAGCAAACAGCCUGGGCAAAGUUGCUGUGCAACAAACCAGCUCCAGUGUAGGUGCUCGACUGGGCCAGGUCCCCCCACACUGGGAGCCUGGGUUUGGCAGGAAGGCUUCUUCUGCCCAGAUGGUUGGGACUGCUCUUCAGGCACCUGCAUCCUUCCAUGAGGUACAAACCUGAGCUCCCUCCUCUGGGUUUUAGGGACACACACAUAUCCUUGUGUCUGCAGGGCCUUGUUUUGGGGACAGGCUGGCCUCCUCUGCCUGAGGCACUCACUCUCGAGAGGGUCACUGGGCAUCCUGCACAGCCUUCAGGCUCUGCUGGGAAGUCCCAGAAGACUCAGUGCCAGCAAGUUGCAAGGCCAGGCCAGAUCCCAGGUAGAGGGAAGCAAGUUUGCUCCCAGAUGGAAGGAGGCCAUGCCAGACAGAAAGGAGGGCCAGGUGGGCUUGUUUCCAAGAACAAUUCACUGGAGAGCAGCUUAACCGGCUCCCGCAGGGGUGUCCCACCAGGCAGCAGUAGCACUAGGGUGACACACAUGGACAAGGCCCCACCGUGAGCAGCUGAACGAGGAUGGGCUGUGCUGAUGUUCAUCAGGAGAGGGAGGCCACUGUCACGGUCUACAGGGCUACCCAAAGAUGGCUGAAGAGCUUCCUUCGGUGGGACAGGGAGGGAGGCAGGCCCGG